Molecule: ribosomal RNA, 245 nt
Filed under: uncultured bacterium
Lineage: Bacteria
Description: partial 16S ribosomal RNA
Rfam family: Bacterial small subunit ribosomal RNA
Source: RNAcentral
UACGUAGGGUGCGAGCGUUGUUCGGAAUCACUGGGCGUAAAGCGCGUGUAGGCGGAUGGUUAAGUCAGAUGUGAAAUCCCCCGGCUUAACCGGGGAAGUGCAUUUGAUACUGGCCGUCUGGAGUGCGGAAGAGGGAGGGGGAAUUCCCGGUGUAGAGGUGAAAUUCGUAGAGAUCGGGAGGAAUACCGGUGGCGAAGGCGCCCUCCUGGGACGACACUGACGCUGAGACGCGAAAGCGUGGGGAG